This 301-nucleotide ribosomal RNA is filed under the name uncultured bacterium. RNAcentral's name for it is "partial 16S ribosomal RNA". It matches the Rfam family "Bacterial small subunit ribosomal RNA", at positions 509 to 807 of the family's 1533-position model. The record is from RNAcentral.
CAGCAGCCACGGUAAUACGGAGGGAGCUAGCGUUAUUCGGAAUUACUGGGCGUAAAGCGCACGUAGGCGGCUUUGUAAGUUAGAGGUGAAAGCCUGGAGCUCAACUCCAGAAUUGCCUUUAAGACUGCAUCGCUUGAAUCCAGGAGAGGUGAGUGGAAUUCCGAGUGUAGAGGUGAAAUUCGUAGAUAUUCGGAAGAACACCAGUGGCGAAGGCGGCUCACUGGACUGGUAUUGACGCUGAGGUGCGAAAGCGUGGGGAGCAAACAGGAUUAGAUACCCGCGUAGUCCCUGUCUCUUAUAC